This 758-nucleotide long non-coding RNA is filed under the name Numida meleagris (helmeted guineafowl). Its description in RNAcentral is "lncRNA (ENSNMEG00000017282.1)". Lineage: Eukaryota; Metazoa; Chordata; Aves; Galliformes; Numididae. The record is from RNAcentral.
AUGCUGAUAAACAUCCAAUUAGCCACUAGGUACCUUGGCACAUCAGUGCAUUUGCUGAAACUUGGUAAGGCAAAAGCAAUUCAGAGAGCCUCAACCCACUUAUUCUUGUCUUCACUGUAUGACAGCAUCACAUCUGCUGUCUGUGAAAUCUGUUCCUGGUGCAUUGAUGGACCUAACACCACCCUCAACACCUGCUGGGGCCAGAUGGUGAACCAUGAAGUAUCCCCUCCUGCCUAUCUGGUGACUCUUUGGCAUGGGGAGGAAAACAACUUCUGCAAGAAGGAGAGCCACUAAGAUCCCAGAGACUAGGCAGAAGUUUUUGUAUCUUCUUCACUAUAGUUUAUUUCUUUACCCUCCCUCCUAAGUGUUUUACUAAUUCUUUCCUUUCCCCAUCUCUUCUACCAGCAGCUUCUGUAGGCUGCAUUUAUAUAUACAUAUAUAUAUUUGUUCUUUCUGUGUAAAGCAGCAUGAUUCACGGGAAAAGGCUUUGUAGCUCCUGCUUAGUGACCUCUCCUGGUUCCUCACUCCUGUUCUCCGCUGAUCAGAGCCACUGGUGAUUAGAUGCUCAGCAGAGGUGAUUGUGGAGCCUUUGACACCUCGCAUCCCCUGCUGCCUAGAUUUCGAAGAGGUAAUCAUUCCCAGAGACCUGCCACUGACCCUUUGCUCGAGCUUUUGUCGGUCACCUUUUACUGUCUCUUUUCUUAAAGAGCUUGAAGUAUCUGGAUUCUUCAGCUAGGCAAAAAAGGAGAUGCACUGAA